CGCCUGCAUGAAGCCGGAAUCGCUAGUAAUCGCGGGUCAGCAUACCGCGGUGAAUAUGUUCCUGAGCCUUGUACACACCGCCCGUCAAGCCACGAAAGUGGGGUGCACGCGAAGUCGCUAAGCUAACUCGUAAGAGAGGCAGGCGCCGAACGUGAACUCCGCGAUUGGGACUAAGUCGUAACAAGGUAGCCGUAGGGGAACCUGCGGCUGGAUCACCUCCUUUCUAAGGAA
RNAcentral lists this ribosomal RNA (231 nucleotides) under Blastopirellula marina. RNAcentral describes it as "partial 16S ribosomal RNA". It matches the Rfam family "Bacterial small subunit ribosomal RNA", at positions 1313 to 1533 of the family's 1533-position model. Lineage: Bacteria; Pseudomonadati; Planctomycetota; Planctomycetia; Pirellulales; Pirellulaceae. The record is from RNAcentral.